Long non-coding RNA from Acanthopagrus latus (yellowfin seabream), 372 nucleotides. RefSeq lists it as uncharacterized. Lineage: Eukaryota; Metazoa; Chordata; Actinopteri; Spariformes; Sparidae. The transcript is spliced from 3 exons. The record is from RefSeq and is a predicted model, not a curated record.
CUUGUCUUGUUUUAGAAAAAGAUUGUGUUUUGGCAUAAAAUGUAGGGCAGCCUUGGCUCUUGCAUGUUGUUAUCGGAAGGUCGCUGGUUCGAUUCCCCUGGUCUGCAUAUCAACGUGUCCUUGGGCAAGAUACUGAACCCCCAACUGCUCCUGAUGUGAGGUCAGCACCUUGCAUGGCAGCCACCGUCAUCAGCGUAUGAACGGCGCCGAGCAACAGGGCUGGGAGAGCGAGGCCCGUCGAAUGGGAAGAUGAAGUGGAGUGUUGAGACUGAACACACUGCCCAGUUUGGCAUGCAGAUCACCUCCCACAUGAGGAACUAGUCAGCCCAUCUGUCACAAAACAUCUGGAGCAUCUGCAGAAGCUCAUUCGCU